UCCUCGCAGCCGACACAGAAAAAUAAAAGAAAACUAUCCUUCCGAGCGCCGCACGAGGCGAGAAGCUCAGAGCUAUGGCGAUGGCGGAGGCGGGAGGCGACGGAUUCGAUUUCCCAUCAGAUCCAGUUGACAGAAUUUGACAGCGGUUCCAAAGGGACUCCCCUGUCGAAUUCAGAGCAUUCAGAAGGCAAAGAUGAUGCACAAGCCCCUGGCUGCACCAACAGGUUUCGCCUGCUGGACCUCACCGCCAGUAAAUCCUUGCUGGACAGUGAAGCAAGUCGAACUUUGGUAUGCACGGCAGCUGAAUCCAGCAUUGGUGAUGUGGGCGAUGCAGCGGUGACAUUACAAGUAGAUGUCAACAACACUUCCAAUGGGGUGGCCCUGUCACUGCCGAACUCGGAACAUUCGACAGGCAAAGAAGAUCCUCAAGCACCUGGCUGGACCAAGAGAGUACGUGUCAGGCAUGCACCUGUUGAACGUCCACCGUGUGCUGGCAGAAUCAGUGCCCUAGAAAAAACAUUGAGAAGAUAUGCAGAGAAAAAGACUGGCACAGUCGUAGUUCCAGCAAUAGGU
Molecule: ribosomal RNA, 573 nt
Filed under: Triticum aestivum (bread wheat)
Lineage: Eukaryota; Viridiplantae; Streptophyta; Magnoliopsida; Poales; Poaceae
Description: partial small subunit ribosomal RNA
Source: RNAcentral